This 439-nucleotide ribosomal RNA is filed under the name uncultured bacterium. Its description in RNAcentral is "partial 16S ribosomal RNA". It matches the Rfam family "Bacterial small subunit ribosomal RNA", at positions 339 to 795 of the family's 1533-position model. The record is from RNAcentral.
CUACGGGUCGCUGCAGUGAGGAAUAUUGCACAAUGGGGGGAACCCUGAUGCAGCAACGCCGCGUGGAGGAUGUCGCAUUUCGGUGUGUAAACUCCUUUUAUAUGUCAAGAAAAUGACGGUAGCAUAUGAAUAAGCACCGGCUAACUCCGUGCCAGCAGCCGCGGUAGUACGGAGGGUGCAAGCGUUACUCGGAAUCACUGGGCGUAAAGGACGCGUAGGCGGGUUGGAAAGUCAGGUGUGAAAUCCUACAGCUUAACUGUAGAACUGCACUUGAAACUUCUAAUCUAGAGUAUGGGAGGGGGAGAUGGAAUUAGUGGUGUAGGGGUAAAAUCCGUAGAUAUCACGAGGAAUACCUAAAGCGAAGGCGAUCUCCUGGAACAUUACUGACGCUAAGGCGUGAAAGCGUGGGGAGCAAACAGGAUUAGAUACCCCCGUAGUC